UCCCUCACUCUCAGUCCGAAAUACCGAUUAAUUAGGAACAACAGAAAAAUAAAUAUAGUUUCAGUGAAAAUUCGUUCUAAAAUUAAUUAAACCUCGAUUGGUAUUGCUGAAAAUAAUUCGACACCGAAUGAGUGUGCAUUGAUGGUUGUCCUCGAGUAUCAGUUAGGGCACGUCAACUCUGGAGGGUUCAAAGAGUCUCUCUGAGACAGGAUGAAUUCAUGACAUUCCCAGUGUAAAGAGACCUUGAUAGAUUGAAAACUGGAUAAUGGAGAGACGUCUGAAGGACGAGGUGGAUGUGUCCCAUCGGGUGUUGCCAAUGGGCAAACAGAAGACCCACAUAUACAUGCCCUGGUAAAUUGCCGCCUGCUAAGGCCAUAUCCCUGGAUAUCCAAUUACUCUUCGUCGUCCUGAUGCGUCGUACUAUCGAGACAAGUGCCCAUACCCCGAGGGCUUAUUCGUUGGCUGGAAGAGGUGGAGCAAGGGUAGCAUUCCGGAAGAAUGAUAAAUCAUACAGUAACAUAAAAAAAUGCAGAAAGAUGGAUGGCUCGGUUGGAGCACAAGAAAAUCAUAAAGAAGAUGAUUUCAUUGGGCUUCCGUGAGCUCACUGGAGCUGGAUAGAAAUUUCUGCUGGAGCUCAGCAAUCAAAAUAGCUGGCGGUCAGUGCACCAAAGACUUCAACCUCCUGCCAUUAUCCCCCUGUCUUCAUUUCUCCUCAUCCAUUCAUUUCUCCAAACAUUUUUAUUUCCAUUCCCCUCCGGUGAAAGCCAUCGCAAGGUCUUCAUCCGUCAGUAAUUUUCAACUUUUUAUUUCAUAAAUUCGGGGAAUGCUUGGGUUGUUGGCGAAUUGCCAAAGAAAGAAUUAAGAAUUACACGGGGUGGAGGAUAUCGAAGGAGAAAGAAGAUGCUCCAGUGGAAAAAGCCAUUAACCCAGAUCGUCGCCUUUAAUGGUGAGUACUGUGUGCACAAAGUGGAGCGCGUUAUGUGUGAGACUUGAGGUGGGCCCUUACUUCUUCAAUGCAAGAUGUACUUUUAUGCCCUCAGACCCAGUGAACGUCAGAUAGCUUCAGGGAAAUGUGAGAAUAAAGAUAGCCCAGUGAUACCUAUACAUUUUCCUUUAUGGGGGCUUCGCAAUUGUUAUAGCUUCUUCUUUUUUAUGGGGGUGGAUCUUCAUUUGGAGAAUCUAGUUCAGUUAAGUGAUAAGCCAAGUUCUUACCAACUUUAAUGGCAAUUAUUCUUUUUUCCUAUCUUACAGAAGAAUGUGCCCUUAGCCCUCAUAUCCUAUCCAUAAAAAAUUACAUCCAGAAUGUCUUCAUGCCCUUAAAUAACAGAACGAUUUCUCAGGAGAACACAUCUUUUAUGGGAAAGUCUAUAAAGAUAGUGAAGCGAUUCUCAAAUAUAUUCAAGGUUUUAUGAAUUUUUCUGGGGAAUAAUUCCUGUCGCUGUUGCAUUUCGACAGAGAAUAUUUCGAUUUAUCGCGGUAAUCCGCGGAUUUUAUGAAAAUCAGUGAUGACUGUCGUCAUGAAUCAGAGUGGAAGUGAAAUCGUAGAAAAUUUGAUGGUUGAAAAAAUUUUAAUGCCUCCAUAUUUUAUAUCCAAUGAGAAUAUCUUAAUCUUCUCAAUUAAUAACGAUUUAUUACGAAAAAAGAUUUGUUUAUGAAAACGUCAUUACAAGGAUAGCAAAGCGAUCCCUAAUUCUAAUUUAAAAUCCGAAAAGUUUUGAAUUUUCGUUUUGAGUAUUUUUUUCCUUUUUCAUUCGUUCGUUCGUUCAUCAAAAAUGAGUACAUUAUACAAAAAAGUAUAAUGAUAAAUAGCUUUUUUCAAUUUUCUCUAUUUUCAAUGCCUGUAAAAAAAUCCUCAUUGUUGGAUUCUCCUUUUAUUGACGAGCAGACAUUGAAAACGUCUCCAUCAUCGCAAAUAGAAAGUGAUUUCUUUCUCGGGAAGUGGUUUUUCAAUUUUCCCAUUUCCA
Fopius arisanus is the source of this 1964-nucleotide long non-coding RNA. RefSeq lists it as uncharacterized. The record is from RefSeq and is a predicted model, not a curated record. The transcript has 3 exons. Lineage: Eukaryota; Metazoa; Arthropoda; Insecta; Hymenoptera; Braconidae.